GGAGAGAUGUCCGAGUUGGUUUAAGGAGCACGCCUGGAAAGCGUGUAUAGGGGAAACUCUAUCAGGGGUUCGAAUCCCCUUCUUUCCGCCA
This 91-nucleotide transfer RNA is filed under the name Inconstantimicrobium mannanitabidum. Its description in RNAcentral is "tRNA-Ser". It matches the Rfam family "tRNA". Rfam says of the family: Transfer RNA (tRNA) molecules are approximately 80 nucleotides in length. The record is from RNAcentral. Lineage: Bacteria; Bacillati; Bacillota; Clostridia; Eubacteriales; Clostridiaceae.